This 113-nucleotide small nuclear RNA is filed under the name Tupaia belangeri chinensis (Chinese tree shrew). Lineage: Eukaryota; Metazoa; Chordata; Mammalia; Scandentia; Tupaiidae. The record is from RNAcentral.
GUUUUUUACAUUUCCAGCACAUACACUGAAACUGGAACAAUGCAGGGAAGAUCAGCAUGGCUCCUGCCCUGUGCAAGGAUGACAUGCAAAUUCGUGAAACAUUCUAUUAAAAC